UUAAACAGCCACUGAUCAUGAAGAUGGUUUUCCCAGGGUGAGGCUCAGCCAUUGCAUUGUGGGUGUGCUGAACCCUGUGAUUUCCCCAAGAGUAUGUGUACACUAUAAAGUUUUGCUGGAAAAACA
This 126-nucleotide small nuclear RNA is filed under the name Pelodiscus sinensis (Chinese soft-shelled turtle). RNAcentral describes it as "U1 spliceosomal RNA (ENSPSIG00000019842.1)". Lineage: Eukaryota; Metazoa; Chordata; Testudines; Trionychidae. The record is from RNAcentral.